This 447-nucleotide ribosomal RNA is filed under the name uncultured bacterium. RNAcentral describes it as "partial 16S ribosomal RNA". It matches the Rfam family "Bacterial small subunit ribosomal RNA", at positions 29 to 523 of the family's 1533-position model. The record is from RNAcentral.
AACGAACGCUGGCGGCAGGCUUAACACAUGCAAGUCGAGCGCCCCGCAAGGGGAGCGGCAGACGGGUGAGUAACACGUGGGAACGUACCUUUUGCUACGGAAUAGCUCCGGGAAACUGGAAUUAAUACCGUAUGUGCCCUUCGGGGGAAAGAUUUAUCGGCAAAAGAUCGGCCCGCGUCUGAUUAGCUGGUUGGUGGGGUAAUGGCCUACCAAGGCGACGAUCAGUAGCUGGUCUGAGAGGAUGAUCAGCCACACUGGGACUGAGACACGGCCCAGACUCCUACGGGAGGCAGCAGUGGGGAAUAUUGGACAAUGGGCGCAAGCCUGAUCCAGCCAUGCCGCGUGAGUGAUGAAGGCCUUAGGGUUGUAAAGCUCUUUCGUCAGGGAAGAUAAUGACGGUACCUGAAGAAGAAGCCCCGACUAACUUCGUGCCAGCCGCCGCCGUAA